RNAcentral lists this ribosomal RNA (396 nucleotides) under uncultured bacterium. RNAcentral's name for it is "partial 16S ribosomal RNA". It matches the Rfam family "Bacterial small subunit ribosomal RNA", at positions 523 to 918 of the family's 1533-position model. The record is from RNAcentral.
AUACGUGGGGGCGAGCGUUGUCCGGAAUGAUUGGGCGUAAAGGGCGCGUAGGCGGCCCGGUAAGUCUGGAGUGAAAGUCCUGUUUUUAAGAUGGGAAUUGCUUUGGAUACUGUCGGGCUUGAGUGCAGGAGAGGUAAGUGGAAUUCCCAGUGUAGCGGUGAAAUGCGUAGAGAUUGGGAGGAACACCAGUGGCGAAGGCGACUUACUGGCCUGUAACUGACGCUCAGGCGCGAAAUUGUGGGUAGCAAACAGGAUUAGAUACCCUGGUAGUCCACACUGUAAACGAUGAAUGCUAGGUGUAGGGGGUAUCGACCCCUUCUGUGCCGCAGUCAACACAAUAAGCAUUCCGCCUGGGGAGUACGGCCGCAAGUUUGAAACUCAAAUGAAUUGACGGGG